Molecule: unclassified non-coding RNA, 378 nt
Filed under: plant metagenome
Description: partial contains 5.8S ribosomal RNA, internal transcribed spacer 2, and large subunit ribosomal RNA
Rfam family: 5.8S ribosomal RNA (bases 1-105)
Source: RNAcentral
GAAAUGCGAUAAGUAAUGUGAAUCGCAGAAUUCAGUGAAUCAUCGAAUCUUUGUACGCACCUUGCGCUCCUUGGUAUUCCUUGGAGCAUGCCUGUUUGAGUAUCAUGAAAUCUUCAAAGUAAAUCUUUUGUUAACUCAAUUGGUUUCUACUUUGGUAUUGGAGGUCUUUGCAGCUUCACACCUGCUCCUCUUUGUUCAUUAGCUGGAUCUCAGUGUUAUGCUUGGUUCCACUCGGCGUGAUAAGUUAUCUAUCGCUGAGGACACUGUAAAAGGUGGCCAAGGUAAAUGCAGAUGAACCGCUUCUAAUAGUCCAUUGACUUGGACAAUACUUUUAUGAUCUGAUCUCAAAUCAGGUAGGACUACCCGCUGAACUUAAGC